This is an RNA transcript of Scylla paramamosain (green mud crab), 6744 nucleotides long. It is a transcript of the gene named serine palmitoyltransferase 2-like, with no coding region annotated. The transcript has 13 exons. Lineage: Eukaryota; Metazoa; Arthropoda; Malacostraca; Decapoda; Portunidae. The record is from RefSeq and is a predicted model, not a curated record.
AUAAGGGGCUAGCUCAAGCUUAGGCUCAGUCUCCGCUAACCAAAACAUGGUGGCUCACACGGAACUAUCUGCCCAGCUUCCACAUGAGAAAAUAGUGAGCAGUGGCAAAGAUCUAGAAUGUAGGAGCGGUGACUCAGGCAGCGGCGUGACGGGGAGGCAGGAGGUGCAGGAUAACUCUGUGCAAAAGAAUCUCACAAGUCAACCAAAUGGAGGUUCGGCUUCUAAGAAAUCGUACCAUAAGGAAGAAGAAUGCUCCCUCUUUGUGGCUUUCUUCACCUUUCUCUCCUAUGGAGUGCUCCUGAUGCUUGGCUAUGUGAGGGAAUUUUUUAUACCUGUCACCACCAAGGAGAAGAACAGAGAACAUAAGAAAAAGAAUGCAUUUGUCACAACACAAAUAAGGGAUAUCGAGGAGUGUCCAUCGUUCACCAACUUCACCAUCUAUCUGUCCUAUGGGGUCCUCUUCCUCGUUGGAUACGUCAAAGAGUUCUUCUACCCACCAUCAACGAAAGAGACAAAUAGAGAGGGAUAUGUGCCUCUUUACAUUGGCUUUGAGAGCUUCUACACUCGCAAUGUUUAUCGGCGUAUUCAAGACUGUUGGAAUAGACCCAUUUCCAGCGUGCCUGGAGCUGAGAUUAACCUGCUGGAGCGGUACACUCCUGACUAUGGUUGGACUAUGAAAUUGACGGGUAAGAUAUUGAAGUGCAUAAAUGCUGGGUCAUACAACUAUCUUGGGUUUGCGGAGAACCAUGGCCCAUGUCACGAUGCUGCCGAGGUGACAACGAAGGAAGUCGGCAUCACCACUAGCAGCCCACGGCUUGAGCUUGGAACUCUUGAAAUCCACAAGAAGUUGGAAGCACUGGUGUCAGAAUUUUUGGGUGUGGAGGAUGCAAUCACUUUUGGCAUGGGGUUUGCCACCAAUGUGCUCAACUUGCCAUCUAUUCUUGGUCCCAGCUGCCUGGUGCUCUCAGAUGAGUUCAACCAUGCCUCUCUUAUCUUGGGCCUGAGACUGUCUGGAGCCACUGUGAAGGUUUUCCAGCACAACAAUGCAGCUGACCUUGAAAAGAAACUGCGAGAAGCCCUCAUCCAUGGCCACCCCAGAACACGGCGGCCCUGGAAGAAGGCCAUGAUUGUGGUGGAGGGAAUCUACUCCAUGGAAGGAAGCAUUUGUGACCUACCCAACUUCAUCAGAAUUAAGAAAAAGUAUAAGACUUACCUGUACGUUGAUGAGGCCCACAGCAUAGGUGCACUGGGGCCGAGGGGUGGAGGUGUAGUGGACUACUAUGGUGCUGACCCAAAGGAUGUGGACAUCCACAUGGGAACCUUCACUAAGAGUUUUGGUGCUGCUGGUGGAUACAUUGCUGGAUCCAAGGACCUAAUCGACCAUCUGCGAGUGAAUAGUCAUGCUCAGUCAUAUGCUGCCUCCAUGCCUCCACCUGUAGCCCAGCAGAUCAUCACCUCCAUGUCCAUCAUUAUGGGCAAGGACGGCUCUGUUGAAGGAAAACGACGGAUAAAUCACCUUGCUAGGAAUACAAAGUACUUCCGUCGAAAAGUAAAGCAAAUGGGGUACAUAGUGUUCGGCAAUGAGGAUUCCCCAGUGGUGCCAGUGUUAUUGUUUCUGCCUGCCACCAUCGCGUCGCAGGCGCAUUCAACAACUGGCCAGGAAUGUGAAAUAUUUCCGACAACGCCUCAGGCAGAUGGGAUUCAUUGUUUAUGGCCACGAUGAUUCACCUGUUGUGCCCUUGCUCUUGUACCUGAUUCCUAAGAUUACAAUGUUUGUACGGGAGCUGACCAAGCGAGGCGUUGCUGGGGUUGGUGUGGGUUUCCCAGCCACGAAAAUCACAGGUGGACGAAUGAGGUUCUGUCUGUCUGCUUCCCACACCAAGGAGAUGCUUGACAAGAUCCUGAAAGAGGUGGAUGUGGUUGGUGACAUGUGUUCUUGCAAGUACUCCAAAAUCCCUAAGAGUUGCAAACCCAUCGAGUGGUAGGAGAGCUGUGUGAUCUCUGGUUAGGGUGUGCCAGGGACUCAGCACACACACCUGGAGAACACAGUAACCACUUCUGUACUGCAGAUUCUCUCCUCUACACAAAUAGUAUUUUGGUUAUUUUUUUUUAAUAUAGAUUUUAUAUAUAACAUUUUAGUGGUAUUCAGCAGUAAGAGUAUGUCUGCAAUUCUUUAGUAUCUCAGAUUUUGACAAGAGAAAGUGUACCACCUCCCUGGAUUACUCUGUAUGUUGGAAAUUUUCUGUACAGUUGAUUUAUCCAUGUUGACAUCCAGACAUAACAUUGUAUGAAAAAUCAAGCAGCACAGGACUGCAGUGCCAUGGUUCAUCUACUGGUUGAGUUCCACCCAACCAACUUUAUUACCUGUGUGUACAUUAUCUGAUGUAGUGGGGAUGUAAUAUAGUAUAUGUACAUGUGGUAAUAGUACUUGUAGUAAAUGCCAUUUCCAUGAAGUUAUUAAGGCAAAACAAAAAUUAAUGCUGAAAAUGGGCUCGUAAAGACUAUCAAUAGAAUAUAUUAUUUUGUGCAUCACAGUGUAGCAGCAUUUUGCCUGUGGAAACAGUGCUGUCAUUUUAGGGGAAUGAAAAAGAUGCAGUGAGAUUGUUAGUACCAUUUGCUGAAGCAUUGAUACCUUGUUACUGAUCUAGUCAGGAGGUUGCACUAGCAGUGGAAACUACUGUUUGAUUGUGCUCUCAGAAUGUGCUUGCAUUUACCGAAACUUGCAUGUCUGGUGGUGCCUCCAUCAUCACCACUGCUUACUGUUUGCAUGCAUAUUUACAAAUGGUUAUUUUAAUACUGAAAAUAUACUUGAUUGAGUUUUCAGCAUAUAGUAGUGCCUUGUUGGGAUAGGUAAAAAAUUCUGAAGGUAUAAAAUUAUUGAACUUGUAGGAUGGUACAUAGAAAUAUUAAUUUUUCAGAUGUGGAAUUGUUCUUGUAGAAUCUAUUUGUGAUUCAAUAAUGAAAAAAUAAAAUAGGAUGGAAACUAAUGUAAAUCAAUAUUUUAUAGUUAUCAAUGUAGUUAUAUUUAAAAAGCAUUAAAGACCUUACUGUAAUUUAAUAUUUUGUUACAAAACUGGAAGGAAUUUAAUAUAUUUCAAGGUCACAUUGAUAGGUGAGAAGGCAAAUUUUACAAUAAGGGGAUAAAGUACUGGUGAAAUAGUAAGUCAGGUGUCUUGUAUCAGGAAUCACAGGUUAGGUAGGUAUGAGCAACAGACGCUUAGCUUUUCAAGUUGUUGUGGGUUGUUACCCAGCAUGUGCCUUCUUCAACACUGUGAAGCUGAAUAAUACCUGUGUUAGACCACUCUGCCAUCACUGCCUGCUUGUAGAGUAUUCAGCACACAAGCCAAAGAAAGUGUUGAUGAGUUACUGUAUGUGUUCAUUCAGUUCAGCAAAGCUUACUCUGAUGACUUCACAGUGAUCUGUAUUCCACUCUGGUGUUCUGAGUGCCUCUUUGUUGGUCAUCCUCUUCUUUAUCAUGCUUUCCUCCACAAGUACUUGAAGAAUGUAUACCUGCAUAGUAAGUGACUUAGGUGUUUAAGGUUCAUAAAAUGUAUAAGAUUUGUUGACUGAGAAAUGGUUCUAUUUCAUGAAUAGCUUAUGUAUGAAAUUAGUGUUUUCAUCUCCUGUGUGCAAAUGGAGAUUUAUAUUGUUGAAGCAUUCAUAGAUGAUUGAUGUAGCAUUGUGUCUUCAUGUUAUGAUUCUUGUUAUAUGUCACCCUGAGGAUAAACAAUGAUGAUUCUCCAGUUAGUAUUUUAUAUUCACAUGUGAUUCCCAAGUUUCCAUGGUUGAUGUUUUUGCUCAUAUGUUAUAUGCAACAAGAAAAUUCCAAUUUAAAUAUGUUUCACAAUAAUUUUGCUGUGCCAGCAUGGACAUAUAGUACUCUGUCACACAGAACUGCUGUCUCAAGUUGCCAUUCGGUUCAAGUGAAACAAGGUUGUUUCUCAGUGUGAUGCCUUUCUUGGCGUCAUUGCUGUUCUCGGCAUCAUUAAGUGUAAAGUGAAAUGUACGUUUUUUAAGUUACUAUUCUGAUUCUCUAUGCAUAUAUCUAUGGGCUAAGUUUAUUUACUGCAAUUCAUUGUAUUAUAGGUUUUAAUAAUCACAUCUGUGUUAUUUUUCUUGUUUUCUGCUUUGAAUUAUUGGCAUUAUUCCAUUGAUGAAACUUCUGAAGUGAUUGAUUUUCACUCUUGGAUAUGAAUUGUAGUGAACCAGUGGCCCUUCCAUAAAUGGUAAUGAUCAUUCUUAUAAAACUGAAAACAUCCUCACCAAUGUAUUCAUAAAUUCCAAAUCUCUACAGCAUUCUAAGACAGUGUCAAGUUUUAGUCUGGUUUAGGAAUUGGUGCAUUGGUGUCAUGGCACUUAUGUAUAAUUUUUCUUUCAUCUGCACUGCACCUUGAUUGCCUCCACAUCCUAUAGCAAGAGGGACAAACCUGGAUCUUGUUACAACCUCUUGACCUUGCAAGCUAUAGGUAUAAUCUUCACCAUAUCAUAUUAGAUGAUGCAGGGACACCAUUUGAGGUUUGGUAAAUAAGUUUCUGAUAGCAAAAUCAUAGUAUUUAUAUCAGUCGUAUUAUACUGUUAUUUGAGUGCUUAAUGUUCUUAAUUUGUGUUCCUAUUUUGUUGACAGGGAUAUAGACAGGGAUAUAGAGAUUUUUAAUUUUUUACUUGGGCUUGUAUCCUGCUUCACCUUAUAUUUUCAAUUUUUUCAUGGAUUCAAGGUUCUGUCGCAAUCUUCUUACCUUCAAGUUUCAGAGUUAUCAAUAUAUUUAUUGUGAAGCUCAAAUUAUUUAGUGGCUGUUUUAUCAAGAGUUAAUAGUUCUAACACCUUUGUAAAAAUAUUUUGUUCACUCAUUAUUGCUGUGAGAAUUGCACAUCAUGUCUGAUGCACAAGUUUGCUUCUACAUAUCCUAUUGGUUAUCAGCAUGCCAUGCCUCUUUUCCACUAGAGGACCCUGGUCUGGCUUGUCCAAUUGACAGAGUGUAGUGAAUUUGUGUUGAGACUGCAAGUCAAAAUAAGCAUAAUUCCUCAAGUAAUAAACAUCAAACAUCUACAGUGGAACCUUGGUUUUUUAACUUAAUUCGUUCCUGAGUGCUGUUUGAAAUCUCAAAUGUUAAAAAACUGAAACAAUUUUUCCCAUAGGAAUCAAUGUAAAAUAGAUUAAUCUGUUCUCAGACACCCAUCCACCAUGUCUUAGUGAGUAAUACCCGACACUCCCACUGCUAAGAUGGCUCCACAACAUAUCCAGCUUAGAAAUUUUCUAUCCAGAAAGGAUGUAUUGAAUGAACUCAUCAAAAAAUAUUUCGACCAUCCAGGCAUUCUCUUUGCCACCAACCAAGUGAGGAAAGCCUUAUAGAGUGACAGAGAGGAGCAACUCACUUAUCGCCAAGAUGAAGGUGAUCAAAACACUUGGACAUCUUUCUGCUGGGAAAAUGCAGAUGUGCAGUAGUGAUGACAUUGUGGGUGAUAGAGAGAGCCACAGGAAGCUCAGGACUAGUCCUGAGCACCAAUCCUUGUUUGUUUACAUCGAGGUUCUUCAACGGGAUAACAUUUAACUUAUUUCAAAGAUUGAAUUACUGCCUUACUCUAUGUCUGUCCGCCAGAUAUAUAAAAAUGAAGGAAAUAUUUAUAGAAACUAUAAAUUAGGAAUAAAUGGCAACUUUGCUACAUCAUGUAGUAUUUGAAAUCAAGUAACUUUGUUCAAAACCGAUUUGUUUGGAAUGGGAGAUGUUCGGUAACUGAGGUUCCACUGUACUUGUAUUAUGUUAGAUUCUAGAAAGCAAACAUGGUUCUAAAGCCAAACAGUUAACAACUGUAAGUGACAUUUGUCUCAGCUGUGUACACUUUUGGCAAUUACCUGGCACUGUUCCAGGCAUGGCAAAUCUGAUAGUUCCCUGGGUGGCUGAGGAUGGCACUGCUUCAGGUGUGGCACACCUGACAGUUCCCUGGGUGGCUGAGGAUGGCACUGCUCCAGGCAUGGCACACCUGACAGUUCCCUGGGUGGCUGAGGAUGGUACUGCUUCUGGCAUGGCACACCUGACAGUUCCCUAGGUGGCUGAGGAUGGCACUGCCUGUAUAGCCACUUUAUUACUGGACAUUGUUUUUACAUAUAUUUCUGUUUUCUUUCCCAUCUUUUCUCUUGGCACAGCAUUGAAAUAAUAGGGCAUUUAAAUGUGAGGAACUAGCUAGUAGUACAAGUAGUGGUAAUGGUUGCCUGUUAGCCUGUCAAAAGUUUUAUGGUCUGGUGUAAAGAGUUUCUAUAUUUUCCCACCUUUUCUCUGCUAUCAAGAGGGUAGAUCAUGGAAUUCCUUAUGUCUGUUGAUCUUUUGACUUCAGUCUUCUUUUCUGACUGAUAAAAUUUAUUUUUUUGACAUCUGAUAGAAAAUAGUCCUGUUUUUUACCUUCACUAUACUUCUUAUCAAUUUCCAUUUCUUUCCCUUUUUAAUGUGCUCCUGUUUUGGUUACUAUCAAUGAUGUGAAAGUUGUGUGUUUUGUUAUUACUAGUAUUUUGAUGGUGUCAUCUAAUUUGUUUUUCUUUUAAUUCACAGAAUCCAGCCAUCACCAAUCUUAUGUUUGUUACAAGUUUUAUUGUGUGUGUUUGUAAAUGCUGCAUAUCGCUGUUAAAUUUGAUCUGAAAUUCAGCCUAUUGGCCAAAGAUUUAAAUGUCUUCUCUUGUAUUGUUUAUAUUUCUCAUGUGCUUGUAAUUGGAGUUGAAAUUGCAUUCUGUAUAAUACAAAAUCUAGAAUUUUG